UCACACCGUUGCACACACCAGAAGAGCUGAAGGAAAUGGGAUUUCAUUUGAUUGUUCAUCCACUUACUUCCCUGUAUGCCUCAGCCCGUGCACUGGUUGAUGUCCUCAAAACUCUGAAGGAGAAUGGAACUACUAGAGAUCACCUCCAUAAAAUGGCUACUUUUGAGGAAUUUAAUCAACUGGUUAAUUUGGAGUCUUGGUUUGAGCUUGAAGCACGAUAUUCAAAUUUCAAGAAUGGAAUUACAGUGAAAAGAUGAUCAGAAAAAGAGCAAUUCUUGAUCGUUGUUCCC
This 290-nucleotide unclassified non-coding RNA is filed under the name Hevea brasiliensis (rubber tree). The record is from RNAcentral. Lineage: Eukaryota; Viridiplantae; Streptophyta; Magnoliopsida; Malpighiales; Euphorbiaceae.